ACGUCUCUAGCUUUGUUCAUUUCUGAACAGUAUGUAAAGGUGAACAUUUGAAAAGCUUGCACAAUUAAAAUAUGUACAAUAAGUAGUUCAAUGAUUAUAGAUGGACGCUGCAAAAUUGCUUUCUCACUAUUAAAUGUGUAAAAUGUAAAGAACGAAUAGGUUACUAGAGAAAAUGUCAAACCAAACAUUACUUGUCACUGCGUUUUAAUCAAUUAAAAGAAUAAACGGCUAGAAAAUUCUUUCCUGAUGGAAACUCACGAAAAUCUACAUUUACUAUUCUUAGAAUGUAAAUUGGGUAAAUUUGCUUUCGUGCGAUAGCUUGCAAAGUGCAAUCCACGCAUAGAGAAAAUAUAAACUGUAUUCGCCAAAUUCAAUGCAAUGAGCUCGACUGAAAAGGCGUUGACCGGAAAGAAUCGAUCCCAACAUCUAGAAAGAUGCUAGUCAAUUCCUUAAAAAAAGAUCUUUUCAGAGGAUGCUAAUUUAUUUUCAAACUACAAUAGAAUAUCCAAACCAUCAUCUAGCUC
RNAcentral lists this long non-coding RNA (524 nucleotides) under Capsicum annuum. RNAcentral's name for it is "long non-coding RNA (CANN_LNC004250)". Lineage: Eukaryota; Viridiplantae; Streptophyta; Magnoliopsida; Solanales; Solanaceae. The record is from RNAcentral.